UAUGACUGGCAGUGUGUAACUCUUCAAGAUCAUGAGAAGACCACACUGUUCUACGGUAAAAACUGUUUCAUCAUUUCAUUCAUCAUGAUUUUUCAGUCCUCAAAUUCCCUUUUUUAACUCAAAAUACAAAUUCAAAAUUCUUCUUACAUUUUCCAUAUUUCAUGUAUUUGAAGUAUUUUUCUGAUCAUCAAGGGUCAUCAAAAAAGCCUAGUUUAAUUUUAUGUUUUCACAAAAAAUUGUGAAGGCAGUAAAACUUUUAAUUUUCUACCUUGUUCUUUACAUGCUGGGCUCUAAUGGGUCAGUUGCGCUGGUAACAGAAUCGUGUUUUGAUGCUUGAUUCUUGUAGAUUAGAUAAAAAGAAGAAAGUCUGUCUGAACAGCAACUUUCUACGUUGAAUAUUAUCUGAGAAUCAUCCUUUAAAAAGUCAGGUUUUUGAUGUCAUCCACCGCGGUAAAGCAUACCAUGGCAUGUACUGCCAUGCCGCGGUGGAUGACGUCAUAAAUCGCAUUUUUCAAGGCGCGAUAACUCAGUUAACAUUCAAGGUAGCAAGUUGCCGUUUGGACAGAUCUUAUUAUUUUUAGUUGAUCUGCAAGAAUAAAGCAUCAAAACACGAUUCUGUCCCCCAGCGCAACUGACCCAUUUAAUGAUUUUGAUCAUAAUUUUUAUGUGAUGGGUCAACGCAAAGGAAUGGGUCAGCAAGGUGAUAUCAUGUGCUCAGUUCAAUUUUUAUGCUCUUUACAGGUCAAGGUAGAAACGAGUUCAUAAAUGGGGUGGCUCCAGCUGGAGUGAGUUGCCGUCGGAACAUUCAUUACUGGAACUAAGUCCGGGAACUCUAGUCUAUGGGGAAUUGGUUUACGAAUUCGUCGGUGAAGGCAAGGGCCUUCGCAAGAGCGCUGCCUUUCAUAUUAUUGACGCAUACCAGCUGGGUAAGGAAGUCAUCGGUAAUUGCAAGUAUAGUGAGAGGUAUGAAAUUUGUCAGCUGUUCUGCAAAGCCAUGACCAGAAGAGGCUGUCCUGUCAGAAUGAAAAAACUUCACGAAUUGUUUGAGGUACCUUCGCUUCUGAACGAAGGGCUAGUUCGGAAACAACUAAAAAAUGUUUCCAUCCAUCGACUGUGUUUCCCAAUUCCUCCAUUCCAUCAUGAAGUCACAAGUUUGCUCUUUUUAAGCUCCACUGCAAGUAAGUAUUCUCAUCUGUGUCACUCAAACUAUGCACCUGUAUUUUUAAAUGUAAUUUGUCAUAGCUUGCUCUUUUUCUUGUCGGUCAAUGAAAAUUUGUGCUAAGUACAAAGACAUUGAAUGUGAGACCGUGUGUGGUGCACCAGCGCUACGAGAACAGAGCGUGACAGGAUUGGGGGCUUUCCAUGAUGAGCAGGUGGGAAAGGGAGAGAACAGUGUGUCUGACGAACUCAAAGAGACUGCAGAAAAGCAUACAGAAUUCAUUCUUGCACUCGGUUUGUUGCAAAUAAGUUGUUUUGAGUCCAAUUUCUGACAAAAUUCCAGAAGACUAAAGUUGUAGAGCAUAUAAUUUAUAACCAUAUUGCAAGGUUUCACUUUUCCGAACUAAAUAUCAACCAAGGAAAAUGCCUCACAAUAAAAAAAAAUUCACUGGGGCCGCUACCGUGGCCGCGCAGUGGGACAACUAUGCUUAUAGAUUCAAGGUCGGCGCUCUGCACUACACUCAUCAAUCAGUGCGCCAUGCAAAUAACUCGGAAAUGAAUAAUGUUGCGACCUGGAAAUUAAUUAAUAAACACAGGUGAAAGGAUGUGAGGCAGUUGUAAGACAUUAUGACAUCUGUUGAUGCGAUAUUUUUUCAUUGAAAUUAUGUAUUAAGAUCGGAUUUCUGGUGACUUUGAAAUUAUUCCUCUAAUUAAAAUUUAAAUGAAAGUGAAAAACAGAAAAUGUGUAGGUCUUCUCAUUUUUAGUACUUUCAACAGCCCCGUCAAACUUUGUUUUCUUGUUCUUUUUGCAACCUCACUAAAUCCUCGUUUUUACAGAUGGUUGGUGUAAACAUUGGUCCAAAAGUCAAAAAAAAUUUUAUUACUAUCAUGGCAAGACUAAAGCAUCCAAGUUUGAGAAAGAUGUCAACAUGGAAGUUUUAAUACUUUCGGGUAGGUCUGACUAUUUUUCUCUAUCCAACGUCCCAAAUCGAUCUCUGACAUUGGAUCAUUAUUAAGUAUCCUACAACCUGCCAUACAGUAUGAAUUUAAUUUGCCUAUUCAUUAGUGGAUUCAUUGGUUCCUGAAAAGAGUGCUGAAGCCAUUUCAGCAUUAAAAGAGUAUUGGCCAGUGUUGGAUCUCUCUGGAAAGUAGCAGUUCCAUCCACAGUUCUACUUGAUAAAGACUGCACAAUUAUUGCCUGUCUCUAAUUGCAGAAGCAUUACUGUUGCCAGUUUGUAGGUCUUUGUCACAAAGGUUUAUGUACGGAGAACCAAGAAUUUCAGCGCCGGCUUUUCAAGAUUCUUCGAUGCAUGUUCGUUACGAUCUUGUGCGUAAGGUGAGCUUUUCAAAUCAAAUUCUCCUUAGGCAAAUCUGGAGAGAAUCUUGUCUGAAAAGAGCAUUUUUCAGCAAUUGUUCACGUAUUAUCAAGUGAAAAAUGUAAGUGGUUGAAGAGCAAGCUCCUUUUUCCUUGUCUAGUGCCACUCGGGGAGAUGAGACGGCACAUCAAUUCAUUAAAAAAGAAACGCGUUGCACCUUCGACUCAGCAACAGUACCACUCUACUGUGUGACGAAACUUGUAAAUUUGCCAAUACUGCGUUUUCCAGACCUGAUUUUUUCGAGAUUGGCACGUUGAAAGUUUGAUUAUAAAAGCUCAUAUUACUUGGGAGAUUGUAAGAAACAGCAUAUCAAUGGCUGAAGUGUGGCACCACAUAUCCUCAUGGCGGUGUUUCAAAAUCUCUGAUCCCAAUUUAUUUUUCAAAGAGGAACAAAUUAACUAUAGCCCGAAAUUUAUGCAGAGCAAUCUGCCUACAGAGAAGAAAAAUCAAGGAAAUUUUCAAGAAAUUACGUUGUCUAGUUUCCCAAGGAAAAAUUGAAGUAUGACAGGGCGUCUACAAUGCCGCAAUUGAAAAUAUUUGGUCUCGUACUUAAGCCAUCAAUAUGAAAAAAUCUAAAAAGUAAGCUGACACUGAAUUUCUUGGUAUUGUUUGUGAAGUCCUUUCAGCCAUGCUGUUUUUAAACGUUGUUAAUGGGACUUAAAAUGUUGUUAAUGGUAAACUUUGAAAAUGGAUUCACCAAUCAUUUCAGCUGUCACCUGCGUCAGCUCAGGUUAUUGAUAACCCUAUUCUCAGUUUCAAUUUGCAGUGAGUGGAAACAACUUUUGGUAUUCUAUCUCUUUAAUGACAAAUAGUAAUCUUUGCAUCCCAGCAUCAUUUUUUACUGCCCUCUCCAAAAAAUCCAGGAGUCCUGAGAAAGUGCUGGAAUGGGAAACAAAUUUUCUGGGAACAUUUUCCAUUUUCUUUAAAAAAAUGAUUGAUCACUAGUUUGUGCGUGCAUUAUUUUUACAAAGUCUCUGAAAAAAGUGAACACCAGCCAUAAAAUCCUUGAAAAAUUUGCAGAAAGCUCCCUCCUAGAUCCCCCCUCCCCCUGUUAUGAUUUUGCAUACUGACUAAAGUGGUUUCUUUGUGCGCAGAUUAACAAUGGAACGGCUGAAAAUCUGGUCCUGGAAGAACUAUGUACCUGACUGUCAUCCUCCUCGUAGUGUUACUGACAAACUGAUCAACUUUCUCCGAGCAAACACCGUCCACAAACGCACCUAAACUCACUUAUUCUAUUCCUCUAAGUCGUAUUAUUUUGAAACUAGCUAAGUCUGUGAUGGAGUUUUAAAAGCCACCAUACUUGUGAUUCAAGUAUGUAGGCUGUGUAACAUAUGUAGAAUUGAAUUUUUUAGUAAAACUCAGGAUGCUGAUGAUCGAUUGGCACUCAGUAUUUUAUUAUUUGUUACUUAGUACUUUCCUUUAUUCUCUCCGUGAGUCUGCUGUUUUAGUGGCUUAAAAAAUUUUGUGAUUUCACUGAAGUGAAUAAGCAAUUAAAUGAAGAUUCUCUUCCCAGAGUCGUGAAGUCCAUCUGAACUCAUUUCCUAUUGAUUAAUCAAAAAUUGAUAAGAAUCUUUUUUGUUGCGUGUUAGUUGAGUGUACUGCUGAAUCAUUGAAAACUAUUUUUGCGUUUCUUUAGUAGAAUGCCAUUAAAUAUGUUGGCAGCUGUUUACUGAAGGCUGUUAUCAAUGGCCCAAGUGUAAAACCGUGCAUCUCCAUUGCAAUGUCUCAAAAUAUCCACUCCUAUUUUAUUUUUUGAAGAGAAACAAGCCAUAUUUGUAGCUCGGAUUUUACAUUGAAUAUUCUGCUAAGAGAGAAGAAAAAUAAAGGAAUUUUCAAGGAAUUACGUCCAGUGGUUUUCCAAAGAAAUAAUGAAGUAUGAAAGGAAGUUUGCAAUGUCUCAAAUGGAGAUACGUAGUUUUGCAUUUUGGCUACUGAUAUGCUGCAAACUGCUUCACUUAUCUGUGCAUAGCAAUAAUGUCAGCCUGCGAUCUAGCAGUAUGUAAUUAACAUUGAACAGUGGGGGUACAGCAGCUUGGAAACAGAAAGUAAAUGCAUAACUGCCAAUGUGUAUGACAAUACUUCAACUGCAAUUGUGCUCCAACAAAAAUUCUGUCUUGGCAGUUUUUUUCAGUUCGAUUUUUUUGAAGAAGCUUCCAUUCUUUUUUCCACUUCUCCAUACAUUAAUUGGCAUAAUAAUUGUCUGCUUAACUUACAUAAGAUAAUGACAACUCAAUUUUGCGUACAAAUGUCUGACAAAGAAAUUUCUUUUGUUUGACGAAACACAUCUUGUAGACAGUUUUUUUUUUUUUUUGGAUUCCAUGAACUGUGAAAUUUCCAUAAUACAUACCUAUUUUUACUUGUUGACAAUAGUCGUGAAUUUUUUUCUUUUGAAUCCUGAGGUAAAAUUUCAUUGUAAAAUGAGGCAAAAGAAAAUGUAAAUUGUCUGAAAUCGAAUGAGAAUAUGUUUGCCCCUCCUUCUCCAAAUCAUUUCUUCAUGGUCUGUGUUCCGAACGAGUCUUGUCAGUUUAAAUCUUUGAUUAACAUUUAUCCUAAAUUCGGUACAAAAGAAUGU
RNAcentral lists this long non-coding RNA (5106 nucleotides) under Bemisia tabaci. Its description in RNAcentral is "lncRNA ENSSWEETPG012010". Lineage: Eukaryota; Metazoa; Arthropoda; Insecta; Hemiptera; Aleyrodidae. The record is from RNAcentral.